GCGAGUGAAGCGGCAAGAGCUCAGAUUUGAAAUCUCACCUAGUGUGCGAGUUGUAAAUUGCAGGUUGGAGUCUCGGGUUAGACGUGUGUGCAAGUCCCUUGGAACAGGGUGCCACUGAGGGUGAGAGCCCCGUAUCGUGCAUGUCGACACCUGUGAGGCCCUUCUGACGAGUCGAGUUGUUUGGGAAUGCAGCUCUAAGUGGGUGGUAAAUUCCAUCUAAGGCUAAAUAUUGGCGAGAGACCGAUAGCGAACAAGUACUGUGAAGGAAAGAUGAAAAGCACUUUGAAAAGAGAGUGAAACAGCACGUGAAAUUGUUGAAAGGGAAGGGUAUUGGGCUCGACAUGGGAUUUACGCAUCGUUGCCUCUCGUGGGCGGCGCUCUGGGUUUUUCCUGGGCCAGCAUCGGUUUUCGUUGCAGGAUAAGGACAAUUGGAAUGUGGCUCCUCGGAGUGUUAUAGCCUUUUGUAGAUGCUGCGUAUGGGGACCGAGGGCUGCGGCGGACUCGUUUCGUCUCGGAUGCUGGCACAACGGCGCAAUACCGCCC
Molecule: ribosomal RNA, 543 nt
Filed under: Pichia kluyveri
Lineage: Eukaryota; Fungi; Ascomycota; Pichiomycetes; Pichiales; Pichiaceae
Description: eukaryotic LSU rRNA
Rfam family: Eukaryotic large subunit ribosomal RNA
Source: RNAcentral